GGAUGCGAUCAUAGCAAGCACUAAAGCACCGGAUCCCAUCAGAACUCCGAAGAUAAGCGUGCUUGGGUGAGAGUAGUACUAGGAUGGGUGACCUCGUGUUGCAUUCC
This 107-nucleotide ribosomal RNA is filed under the name Triticum aestivum (bread wheat). Lineage: Eukaryota; Viridiplantae; Streptophyta; Magnoliopsida; Poales; Poaceae. The record is from RNAcentral.